CCUACGGGAGGCAGCAGUGAGGAAUAUUGGUCAAUGGACGAGAGUCUGAACCAGCCAAGUAGCGUGAAGGAUGACUGCCCUAUGGGUUGUAAACUUCUUUUAUAUGGGAAUAAAAUGUUCCACGUGUGGGUUUUUGUAUGUACCAUAUGAAUAAGGAUCGGCUAACUCCGUGCCAGCAGCCGCGGUAAUACGGAGGAUCCGAGCGUUAUCCGGAUUUAUUGGGUUUAAAGGGAGCGUAGAUGGAUUGUUAAGUCAGUUGUGAAAGUUUGCGGCUCAACCGUAAAAUUGCAGUUGAAACUGGCAGUCUUGAGUACAGUAGAGGUGUGCGGAAUUCGUGGUGUAGCGGUGAAAUGCUUAGAUAUCACGAAGAACUCCGAUUGCGAAGGCAGCUCACUGGACUGCAACUGACACUGAGGCUCGAAAGUGUGGGUAUCAAACAGGAUUAGAUACCCCAGUAGUC
RNAcentral lists this ribosomal RNA (460 nucleotides) under uncultured bacterium. RNAcentral describes it as "partial 16S ribosomal RNA". It matches the Rfam family "Bacterial small subunit ribosomal RNA", at positions 338 to 795 of the family's 1533-position model. The record is from RNAcentral.